Molecule: microRNA precursor, 81 nt
Filed under: Bombyx mori (domestic silkworm)
Lineage: Eukaryota; Metazoa; Arthropoda; Insecta; Lepidoptera; Bombycidae
Description: mir-2807 microRNA precursor family
Rfam family: mir-2807 microRNA precursor family
Source: Rfam by way of RNAcentral
UUAACUCAAAUUUGUAUGGAGUUGGAGCGUUUACUUACGGUUUCCGCUAGGGGCGCUGUUCCAACUGAAUACAAAGAGAUA